This 119-nucleotide ribosomal RNA is filed under the name Gossypium hirsutum (cotton). The record is from RNAcentral. Lineage: Eukaryota; Viridiplantae; Streptophyta; Magnoliopsida; Malvales; Malvaceae.
GGGUGCGACCAUACCAGCACUAAUGCACCGGAUCCCAUCAAAACUCCACAGUUAAGCGUGCUUGUGCAAGAGUAGUACUAGGAUGGGUGACUUCUUGGGAGGGCCUCGUGUUUCACCCC